RNAcentral lists this ribosomal RNA (124 nucleotides) under Microcebus murinus (gray mouse lemur). Lineage: Eukaryota; Metazoa; Chordata; Mammalia; Primates; Cheirogaleidae. The record is from RNAcentral.
CCUAACCCUAACCCUAACCCUGAGCACGCCCGAUCUCGUCUGGUCUCGGAAGCUAAGCAGGGGCGGGCCUGGGUGGUACGUGGAUGGGAGAAUUCUGUCUUGGCUCUCUAGGUGGCUGGUGGGA